GGUAGCAAUGUUUGGUUAUAAUUAUUUGAAUUUCACAUGAAACGAAAAAAAUACAAGCAAUUGACAAAAAUAAUAAUUACCUACUUUAAAUAAUGCAAAAUGUUAUAUUAUUUAUUUUAUUGCACUUAAUAUUAUACUCGGGCACGUAUAGAAUCAAUAUUAUAUUUAGUCGAAUAAGAAAUUUCGUAUAAUAACGUUCGCCUUCAGACCGCGCCUCAAUCGAUUUUAUAAAGUGCACGUUGCACGAUGCACAUGCGCACUGAUAGUAAAUAUAUCGCUAUACCGUUCUUUAACGAAAAUUGUUUACCUAUAUUAUAUAGUUUGUCGGAAUUUAGUGUUUAAAGCACUACAGAAAUUUAAAAACAACGUAUACACAUGUAACGUUGUUUGCGAACUUUAUUAAUUACGUUUUUGUUAGUCGAAACAAGCCAACUAUACCAGAAUUUAGUUUAAUUGAUUUUUAUUACCAUUUUCGUCAUAUGUCUACAAAUUAAAGAAUAUAAUAAUAAAUUCGGGUGUUUCGUUAAUAAUAUUUAGAACAAAUAUGAAUUUGAAAAAUGUAAAAAAAAUAUAGACAUACUUCGCAUUCUAUGGCGGAGUAUAACGAUAAACUAUUGCUAAUGAAAAACAACUCUGUGUGAAGUUCGAUUAUAUUAUGUGUUCUGAAAGGUGAUAAUACUUACAAUUUUCGUCAAAAUUUGAUAUU
Cinara cedri is the source of this 706-nucleotide non-coding RNA. NCBI's taxonomy places the organism in Eukaryota, Metazoa, Arthropoda, Insecta, Hemiptera, Aphididae. The record is from the annotation of a GenBank genome assembly.